This 509-nucleotide ribosomal RNA is filed under the name Chrysolina bicolor. RNAcentral describes it as "partial 16S ribosomal RNA". The stretch from base 383 to 509 matches the Rfam family "Bacterial large subunit ribosomal RNA", at positions 2473 to 2599 of the family's 2925-position model. The record is from RNAcentral. Lineage: Eukaryota; Metazoa; Arthropoda; Insecta; Coleoptera; Chrysomelidae.
GUCUUUUUGUAAAUAAUUUAAAGUCUAGCCUGCCCACUGAAAUUUUAAAUGGCCGUGGUAUUUUGACCGUGCUAAGGUAGCAUAAUCAUUAGUUUUCUAAUUAAAAACUGGAAUGAAAGGUUGGAUAAGAAAAUAGCUGUCUCUGUUAAAUUUUAUUAAAAUUUUAUUUUUAAGUUAAAAAGCUUAAUUAAUAUUAAAAGACGAGAAGACCCUAUAGAGUUUAAUUAUUAAUUAAAAGUUAUAUUUUAGUAUUUAUUUAUUUAUUUUAUAUAAUAAUUUAAUUGGGGUGAUUGAAAAAUUUAAUUAACUUUUUUUUAUUUAAUACAUUAAUUUAUGAUUUUAUGAUCCAUUAUUUUUGAUUAUAAGAUAAAAUUACCUUAGGGAUAACAGCGUAAUUUUUUUAAAGAGUUCAUAUUAAAAAAAAAGAUUGCGACCUCGAUGUUGGAUUAAAAAGAAUUCUUGGUGUAGAAGCUAGGAGUAUUAGGUCUGUUCGACCUUUAAAAUUUUAC